UAGAGUCACUCCUUUAAGAAGGGAGCUCCUCCCUGUGUGUUUCUUCUGGGUUUUGCAUCCAGAUGGAGCUGUCUUCCCUCACCCACAGGGAGGGAGUCACCCUUCUGCUGGCUCCAGCGGCUCAGGAACUGGGGACGCAGUGCCUGGCUCGUGGUGUCCUGCAGCAGAUGUGGGGAUUAUUCCUUCUUUACAUUUCCCUGACAAUGGGAGGCACUGCGGGACAAGGCAUUCAUCAGCCCACUGAGUUGACAGCUAUGGAAGGAGCCUCUGUCCAAGUCAACUGCAUGUACCAGACAUCUGGGUUCAACGGGCUGUCCUGGUACCAGCAACCUGGUGGUGGAGCACCCAUGUUUCUCUCUUACAACGUUCUGGAUGGUUGGGAGAGGAGAGGUCGUUUUUCUUCAUUCCUUCGUCGCUCUGAUACAUACAGUUACUUCCUUCUGAAGGAGCUCCAGAUGAAAGACUCUGCCUCUUACCUCUGUGCUGUGAUCGACACUAUGACUAUGAGGCCUCUUCAGCUGCACCAAAAUUCAAAAGGUGAUCACGACAGCGAGAAGCUAUAUUUCCUGAGCGUAUGCCUGCUGUGA
Non-coding RNA from Ceratotherium simum simum (southern white rhinoceros), 587 nucleotides. The record is from the annotation of a RefSeq genome assembly. Lineage: Eukaryota; Metazoa; Chordata; Mammalia; Perissodactyla; Rhinocerotidae.